This 122-nucleotide ribosomal RNA is filed under the name Spinacia oleracea (spinach). The record is from RNAcentral. Lineage: Eukaryota; Viridiplantae; Streptophyta; Magnoliopsida; Caryophyllales; Amaranthaceae. RNAcentral also lists the same sequence under 1 other name.
GGGUGCGAUCAUACCAGCACUAAUGCACCGGAUCCCAUCAGAACUCCGCAGUUAAGCGUGCUUGGGCGAGAGUAGUACUAGGAUGGGUGACCUCCUGGGAAGUCCUCGUGUUGCACCCCUUU